Molecule: ribosomal RNA, 164 nt
Filed under: Acaena digitata
Lineage: Eukaryota; Viridiplantae; Streptophyta; Magnoliopsida; Rosales; Rosaceae
Description: 5.8S ribosomal RNA
Rfam family: 5.8S ribosomal RNA
About the family: 5.8S ribosomal RNA (5.8S rRNA) is a component of the large subunit of the eukaryotic ribosome. It is transcribed by RNA polymerase I as part of the 45S precursor that also contains 18S and 28S rRNA. Functionally, it is thought that 5.8S rRNA may be involved in ribosome translocation.
Source: RNAcentral
UAAACGACUCACGGCAACGGAUAUCUCGGCUCUCGCAUCGAUGAAGAACGUAGCGAAAUGCGAUACUUGGUGUGAAUUGCAGAAUCCCGUGAACCAUCGAGUCUUUGAACGCAAGUUGCGCCCGAAGCCGUCAGGCCGAGGGCACGUCUGCCUGGGCGUCACAC